CUGCAGCCCGAGUGGUGAUCGAUUUUAUUGAGCCUAAAGCGUCCGUAGCCGGACUAGUAAACCCUUGGGUAAAUUGGGCAGCUUAACUGUCCAAAUUCCGAGGGGACUGCUAGUCUUGGGACCGGGAGAGGUCAGAGGUACUCAAGGGGUAGGGGCUAAAUCCUGUAAUCCUUUGGGGACCACCAGUGGCGAAGGCGUCUGACUAGAACGGAUCCGACGGUAAGGGACGAAACCCUGGGGCACAAACCGGAUUAGAUACCCGAGUAGUCC
Molecule: ribosomal RNA, 270 nt
Filed under: uncultured archaeon
Lineage: Archaea
Description: partial 16S ribosomal RNA
Rfam family: Archaeal small subunit ribosomal RNA
Source: RNAcentral